This 253-nucleotide ribosomal RNA is filed under the name uncultured bacterium. RNAcentral describes it as "partial 16S ribosomal RNA". It matches the Rfam family "Bacterial small subunit ribosomal RNA", at positions 524 to 776 of the family's 1533-position model. The record is from RNAcentral.
GACAGAGGGGGCAAGCGUUGCUCGGAAUUACUGGGCGUAAAGGGCGCGUAGGCGGGAUGGCAAGUCGGUCGUGAAAUCCCUCGGCUCAACUGAGGAUCGUCGAUCGAUACUGCCGUUCUUGAGGAUUGCAGAGGAGACUGGAAUUCCCGGUGUAGCGGUGAAAUGUGUAGAGAUCGGGAGGAACACCGGUGGCGAAGGCGGAUCUCUGGGCAAUUCCUGACGCUGAGGCGCGAAAGCGUGGGGAGCAAACGGG